GCUCCUGCUGUUUCAACCCAUUCCUUGGAUGGUGCUGCCUCCAAGUGUUCGGACCUUAGCCCCAGGUGGUCUCAUUCUCCACCAGUAUCCCCCGCUCCAACUCCCUAAAGUCCGACCCGCCCAGGCCUGGCUCUAUGCCUCCAGAUGACGCCCCGGGAGGCCAGAGUGCAGGGCCGGCCAGAGGGAGUCACAGCCCAGCACCGAGAGGCAACUCGGCAGCUGGCGGGGCCCGGGCUCGAACCCACGGACUCACCCAAACCGAGGUGACCGUCGCAUGC
RNAcentral lists this non-coding RNA (278 nucleotides) under Pongo abelii (Sumatran orangutan). Lineage: Eukaryota; Metazoa; Chordata; Mammalia; Primates; Hominidae. The record is from RNAcentral.